GCCGGGUGUGGUGGCACGUGCCUGUAGUCCCAGCUAUUCGGGAACAUGAGGUGGAAGGGUUGCCUGAGGCCAGGAAUUCUGGUUUACUAUGCCAAUCCGGUGUCCACACUAAGUUGGGCAUCAAUAUGGUGACCUUCUUGGAGCGUGGACCACCAGGUUGCCUAAGGAGGGGUGAACCGGCCCAGGUCGGAAACAGAGUAGGUCAAAACUCCCAUGCUGAUUGGUAAUUUCUUUUACUUUCAUUUUAUGUACACAUAUUGUGCAGGAAGAAGAGACUUGAAAAUGCACAU
Molecule: unclassified non-coding RNA, 290 nt
Organism: Fukomys damarensis (Damara mole-rat)
Lineage: Eukaryota; Metazoa; Chordata; Mammalia; Rodentia; Bathyergidae
Rfam family: Metazoan signal recognition particle RNA
About the family: The signal recognition particle (SRP) is a universally conserved ribonucleoprotein. It is involved in the co-translational targeting of proteins to membranes.
Source: Ensembl